Molecule: ribosomal RNA, 497 nt
Filed under: uncultured bacterium
Lineage: Bacteria
Description: partial 16S ribosomal RNA
Rfam family: Bacterial small subunit ribosomal RNA
Source: RNAcentral
GAUGAACGCUGGCGGCGUGCCUAAUACAUGCAAGUCGGGCGAACGGACGAGAAGCUUGCUUCUCUGAUGUUAGCGGCGGACGGGUGAGUAACACGUGGAUAACCUACCUAUAAGACUGGGAUAACUUCGGGAAACCGGAGCUAAUACCGGAUAAUAUUUUGAACCGCAUGGUUCAAAAGUGAAAGACGGUCUUGCUGUCACUUAUAGAUGGAUCCGCGCUGCAUUAGCUAGUUGGUAAGGUAACGGCUUACCAAGGCAACGAGGCAUAGCCGACCUGAGAGGGUGAUCGGCCACACUGGAACUGAGACACGGUCCAGACUCCUACGGGAGGCAGCAGUAGGGAAUCUUCCGCAAUGGGCGAAAGCCUGACGGAGCAACGCCGCGUGAGUGAUGAAGGUCUUCGGAUCGUAAAACUCUGUUAUUAGGGAAGAACAUAUGUGUAAGUAACUGUGCACAUCUUGACGGUACCUAAUCAGAAAGCCUCGGCUAACUACGUG